CGGGUGAGUAAUGCUUGGGAAUCUGGCUUAUGGAGGGGGAUAACUACGGGAAACUGUAGCUAAUACCGCGUAGAAUCGGAAGAUGAAAGUGCGGGACCGCAAGGCCGCAUGCCAUGAGAUGAGCCCAAGUGGGAUUAGGUAGUUGGUGGGGUAAAGGCCUACCAAGCCUGCGAUCUCUAGCUGGUUUGAGAGGAUGGCCAGCCACACUGGAACUGAGACACGGUCCAG
RNAcentral lists this ribosomal RNA (228 nucleotides) under uncultured bacterium. Its description in RNAcentral is "partial 16S ribosomal RNA". It matches the Rfam family "Bacterial small subunit ribosomal RNA", at positions 103 to 334 of the family's 1533-position model. The record is from RNAcentral.